RNAcentral lists this ribosomal RNA (468 nucleotides) under uncultured bacterium. Its description in RNAcentral is "bacterial SSU rRNA". It matches the Rfam family "Bacterial small subunit ribosomal RNA", at positions 28 to 507 of the family's 1533-position model. The record is from RNAcentral.
GAUGAACGCUAGCGACAGGCUUAACACAUGCAAGUCGAGGGGCAGCGAGAAAGUGCUUGCACUUUUGUCGGCGACCGGCGCACGGGUGAGUAACACGUAUGCAACCUGCCCUUGUCAGGGAGAUUAAUACCGGAUGGUGUUCAAAUGUCGCAUGUUAUUUGAACUAAAGAUUUAUCGGUAACGGAUGGGGAUGCGUGACAUUAGAUAGUAGGCGGGGUAACGGCCCACCUAGUCUACGAUGUCUAGGGGUUCUGAGAGGAAGAUCCCCCACACUGGAACUGAGACACGGUCCAGACUCCUACGGGAGGCAGCAGUGAGGAAUAUUGGUCAAUGGUCUGACGACUGAACCAGCCAUGCCGCGUGAAGGUCACGGCCCUAUGGGUCUUAAACUUCUUUUGUAAGGGAGCAAUAAGUCUCACGUGUGGGAUGAUGAGAGUACCUUACGAAUAAGCAUCGGCUAACUCCGUG